This 66-nucleotide transfer RNA is filed under the name Bryopa lata. RNAcentral's name for it is "tRNA-Trp". The record is from RNAcentral. Lineage: Eukaryota; Metazoa; Mollusca; Bivalvia; Clavagellidae.
AGGGCUUUAAGUUAUGCAAAACUUUGGGCCUUCAAAGCCUACAAAGGGGGGAUCCCCCAGGCUCUG